GCAACUCGCCUACAUGAAGUCGGAAUCGCUAGUAAUCGCGGAUCAGCAUGCCGCGGUGAAUACGUUCCCGGGCCUUGUACACACCGCCCGUCACACCAUGAGAGUUUGUAACACCCAAAGCCGGUGGGGUAACCUUUUGGAGCCAGCCGUCUAAGGUGGGACAGAUGAUUGGGGUGAAGUCGUAACAAGGUACC
This 194-nucleotide ribosomal RNA is filed under the name uncultured bacterium. RNAcentral's name for it is "partial 16S ribosomal RNA". It matches the Rfam family "Bacterial small subunit ribosomal RNA", at positions 1307 to 1500 of the family's 1533-position model. The record is from RNAcentral.